RNAcentral lists this ribosomal RNA (834 nucleotides) under uncultured bacterium. Its description in RNAcentral is "bacterial SSU rRNA". It matches the Rfam family "Bacterial small subunit ribosomal RNA", at positions 105 to 935 of the family's 1533-position model. The record is from RNAcentral.
GGUGAGUAAUGCCUAGGAAUCUGCCUGGUAGUGGGGGACAACGUUUCGAAAGGAACGCUAAUACCGCAUACGUCCUAAGGGAGAAAGCAGGGGACCUUCGGGCCUUGCGCUAUCAGAUGAGCCUAGGUCGGAUUAGCUUGUUGGUGAGGUAAUGGCUCACCAAGGCGACGAUCCGUAACUGGUCUGAGAGGAUGAUCAGUCACACUGGAACUGAGACACGGUCCAGACUCCUACGGGAGGCAGCAGUGGGGAAUAUUGGACAAUGGGCGAAAGCCUGAUCCAGCCAUGCCGCGUGUGUGAAGAAGGUCUUCGGAUUGUAAAGCACUUUAAGUUGGGAGGAAGGGUUGUAGAUUAAUACUCUGCAAUUUUGACGUUACCGACAGAAUAAGCACCGGCUAACUCUGUGCCAGCAGCCGCGGUAAUACAGAGGGUGCAAGCGUUAAUCGGAAUUACUGGGCGUAAAGCGCGCGUAGGUGGUUUGUUAAGUUGGAUGUGAAAGCCCCGGGCUCAACCUGGGAACUGCAUCCAAAACUGGCAAGCUAGAGUACGGUAGAGGGUGGUGGAAUUUCCUGUGUAGCGGUGAAAUGCGUAGAUAUAGGAAGGAACACCAGUGGCGAAGGCGACCACCUGGACUGAUACUGACACUGAGGUGCGAAAGCGUGGGGAGCAAACAGGAUUAGAUACCCUGGUAGUCCACGCCGUAAACGAUGUCAACUAGCCGUUGGAAUCCUUGAGAUUUUAGUGGCGCAGCUAACGCAUUAAGUUGACCGCCUGGGGAGUACGGCCGCAAGGUUAAAACUCAAAUGAAUUGACGGGGGCCCGCACAAGCGGUGG